GACGAACGCUGGCGGCGUGCUGAACACAUGCAAGUCGAACGGUAAGGCCCUUCGGGGUACACGAGUGGCGAACGGGUGAGUAACACGUGGGUGAUCUGCCCUGCACUUCGGGAUAAGCCUGGGAAAAUGGGUCUAAUACCGGAUAGGACCACUUCCUGCAUGGGUGGUGGUGGAAAGCUUUUGCGGUGUGGGAUGGGCUCGCGGCCUAUCAGCUUGUUGGUGGGGUGAUGGCCUACCAAGGCGACGACGGGUAGCCGGCCUGAGAAGGUGACCGGCCACACUGGGACUGAGAUACGGCCCAGACUCCUACGGGAGGCAGCAGUGGGGAAUAUUGCACAAUGGGCGCAAGCCUGAUGCAGCGACGCCGCGUGAGGGAUGACGGCCUUCGGGUUGUAAACCUCUUUCAGCACCGACGAAGCGCAAGUGACGGUAGGUGCAGAAGAAGGACCGGCCAACUACGUGCCAGCCGCCGCAGUAA
RNAcentral lists this ribosomal RNA (478 nucleotides) under uncultured bacterium. RNAcentral describes it as "partial 16S ribosomal RNA". It matches the Rfam family "Bacterial small subunit ribosomal RNA", at positions 28 to 523 of the family's 1533-position model. The record is from RNAcentral.